This 1291-nucleotide ribosomal RNA is filed under the name Trigonopterus sp. 3 AH-2016. Its description in RNAcentral is "16S ribosomal RNA". The stretch from base 856 to 1224 matches the Rfam family "Archaeal large subunit ribosomal RNA", at positions 2149 to 2717 of the family's 2987-position model. Lineage: Eukaryota; Metazoa; Arthropoda; Insecta; Coleoptera; Curculionidae. The record is from RNAcentral.
GGAUAAGUGGGUUAUUAAUAAUUUUUAAUGUAUAUAGAUAAUUUAGAAAAAAAUUUUAAUUUUAUUAAUUUUUGUGAAAAAAUUUUAUUUGAUGAAAGAGAAGUAGUAUUGUAAAAGAAAUUCAUAAUUUUUGUUAAAGAAAUAUUUAUUUUAUGUACCUUGUGUAUCAGGGCUUGUCAAAUAAAGCUUAGUUUUGUAGGUUUCUCGAAUUUAGGGGAGUUAUAAGCAUAUAGUUUUUAUUGUAAAAUAAAUAUUAUAAAUAUGUUUAUAGAGGUGAAAUGCCAUUCGACUCUAAAUAUAUCUAGUUUUUUAAGAAAAAAAUUUAAUUUUAUUUCUGUAUAUUAUAGAUCUAAGUAUUUAGCUUUAUGUUGGCAGAAUUAAAUGUUUCAGGGGAUGAGCUUUGGAACAGAUUUAUAAAAUUUUAAAAAGUGUUUAUGUAAAUUAGGAUUGUAAGUUUUUAUUUUUGGUAGUGUGUUAUUACUAGACAUAUUAGAUCAAUAAUUUUUAUAGAAUUUAUAUAUUUUAUUAAAAUAUAAAUAGAAAUUAUUUUUAUUAAGAAAUAAUGAUUAAAUUAGUAUAAAUAAAUGUAUUAAAGUUUAUUUUGUUGGAAGGUUUUUUAAAGGAACUCGGCAAAUUUAUUUUUCACCUGUUUAAUAAAAACAUGGCCUGUAGAGUAUAAUUUUAGGUCUGACCUGCCCAAUGAGUUAUUUAAUGGCCGCGGUAUACUGACCGUGCAAAGGUAGCAUAAUCACUAGUUUUUUUAUUGAAAGCUUGAAUGAAAGGUUUGAUGAAAGAGUAACUGUCUCUGGGAAAAUUUAUUAGAAUUUUAUUUUUAAGUUAAAAAGCUUAAAUAGACAUAGAAGACGAGAAGACCCUGUAGAGUUUUAUAUUUAUAUUAAAGCUUUAAUUUUAGGUUUUAUAAGUUGAAUAUUUAAAGUAAAAUAUUUUGUUGGGGUGAUAGGAAAAUUGAACAAACUUUUCUUUUUUAAGAAACAUUUAUUUGUGAUUUAUUGAUCCUGAUUUUCAGAAAGAAGAAAAAACUACCUCAGGGAUAACAGCGUAAUUUUUUUUAGAGUUCUUAUCGAAGAAGAAGUUUGCGACCUCGAUGUUGGAUUAAAGUUUAUUAUUGGUGGAGAUGCUAAUAAAUUGAGUCUGUUCGACUUUUGUAACUUUACAUGAUCUGAGUUUAAACCGGUGUGAGCCAGGUUGGUUUCUAUCUCUAUGAAUAUAAUAUAUUUUAGUACGAAAGGACCAAAUAUUUAAUUAAAAAUUUUAUUUAGUGAAUGAAAUU